GGACGAACGCUGGCGGCGUGCUUAACACAUGCAAGUCGAACGAUGAAGCCCCUUCGGGGGUGGAUUAGUGGCGAACGGGUGAGUAACACGUGGGCAAUCUGCCCUGCACUCUGGGACAAGCCCUGGAAACGGGGUCUAAUACCGGAUACGACACAGGGAGGCAUCUCCUCUGUGUGGAAAGCUCCGGCGGUGCAGGAUGAGCCCGCGGCCUAUCAGCUUGUUGGUGAGGUAACGGCUCACCAAGGCGACGACGGGUAGCCGGCCUGAGAGGGCGACCGGCCACACUGGGACUGAGACACGGCCCAGACUCCUACGGGAGGCAGCAGUGGGGAAUAUUGCACAAUGGGCGCAAGCCUGAUGCAGCGACGCCGCGUGAGGGAUGACGGCCUUCGGGUUGUAAACCUCUUUCAGCAGGGAAGAAGCGCAAGUGACGGUACCUGCAGAAGAAGCGCCGGCUAACUAC
RNAcentral lists this ribosomal RNA (463 nucleotides) under Streptomyces thermoviolaceus subsp. thermoviolaceus. RNAcentral describes it as "bacterial SSU rRNA". It matches the Rfam family "Bacterial small subunit ribosomal RNA", at positions 27 to 504 of the family's 1533-position model. The record is from RNAcentral. Lineage: Bacteria; Bacillati; Actinomycetota; Actinomycetes; Kitasatosporales; Streptomycetaceae.